Long non-coding RNA from Durio zibethinus, 1253 nucleotides. RefSeq lists it as uncharacterized. NCBI's taxonomy places the organism in Eukaryota, Viridiplantae, Streptophyta, Magnoliopsida, Malvales, Malvaceae. The record is from RefSeq and is a predicted model, not a curated record.
AUUCAGCACCAUAGUUUCAUAAAUAGAGGACAAUGAGAUUAGAAAAAAAUUGUGAAGAGUUUUGGAUUUGGAAAAAAGUUGAAUUACAGGCGAUCUAGAAAGCAAAUCGAUCAAGCAAGUAAGUUGAUUAAAAAGAAGUAAUUUACAAGCAGUUUCCAAAUGGAAUUCAACAAAAGAAGUUCAGGCAAAAAUUUAGUAGUGAACACAAACCAGAACACAAGUUCGAAUUCCUACCAAGCAAUUAUCAGCCACAACAUCAGUCAAAUUCAAUUUCCAGGAGUUGAUACAGAGCAGUAAUCAAAGCAGAGAACACAAAUUCAAUCAACAGAAAAAUUGGUCUCGCAUAUUCUGAAAACCAAUCUCCAACCUAGAAAACCCAAGCCAAUUCCAGAAACAAAACCUAACGAUCAACCCAGAAAACCCGCCAUUCCCCAAGCAAUUUCCAAUUCAGUAGAAACAAUUCCCAAAAAACUCAAUACCCAGCACACCCAUAUACUAACCAUAAGAAAUCAGCCCAAAAUUUCAAAAUCUCCAAUCCAGAAAAAUCCAAGUAAAAAAAUCAGUCCACGCAUAUCAACAAUCACAAAAAACACAAGCAAUUGCACAUACAUAAAAAAUUCAACAACAAGAGUAAACGCCAUUCUAUUGACAGAAAAUCGAUUUUAAGGUUUGGGAUCAAUUGCAUGAAAUUAGGGCUAAGCUUGGGUGUGGGUAUUAGUUUGGCUUUGGUAUUGCGGUGUGAAUGAGGGACUAAGAAAGAAGAACUAGAAGGAUUUGGAAUCUUUCGGUGGUGUUGGCCAUGGCAGACUGAUGGUGCUCACAGGUGACGAAAGGCGAUGAACGACCUUGGUGACUGAUGGUGGUUGUGACAGCGGCUGGUUAUCGAGAUUUGGAUUGGUAUUUUCUGGUUCUGGGUUUUGACGAAGAACAAAAUUAGAGGAGCAUAGAUUGAUUCAAAAAGGGAUUGUUGAAAGUUAAGAGUGCUAUGAAGAAAAUAGGAGAAGAGAAGAGACGCAGGGGAUUAAAGGCUAUGGGUAAUAUGGAAUCUGAUUCUGAAUAGAAACCAGCCUUUCUGGAAGCCGUUUAGGUGUUUGUUUUUGAGUAAUGCAAUGAUGAUGAUGAUUAUGUUCAAUAGCUUGCAGUUGGGUCUUUUUUGUUGAGGAUGAGAGAAGGGUUUGAACUGUGUAAAUGAUGACCUUUUCAUCUAUGAGAUCAAUGAAAGAAUUAAAAUUAAACCAAAUUUUUAUCUGCUA